AUUCGUGCAGCAGCUUGAGCUGCAUUUCGGACUGCAGCCAAGGCAUCUUUAAGUGAAACCUGGUCUUCAUUGGCAGCAAAACUCCCCUUUGAGAUGCUAUCUACAGUUAUCUCAGCAUCAACCUCAGCAUAUCCUUUAGAAAGCUCACUCUCUUCUAGUGUAAGGGAUGAAAGAUGGCUUGUUAGUGCCACCUCCGAAAGAUGAAAGAUAACCUGCAAGCCCCUUAUGCCCACAGUUGGCCGCAAUGGAUGCUGGAGUUUUGCCAACUGGAUCUUGUGAAGUUGGAUCUGUCACAGCCCCAGCUGAUGCACCAGAAGCUAAAAGGGCUGCAACCAUUUUUUCCCUUCCAAAACGAGCAGCCCAAUGAAGAGCAGUCCAUCCAUUAAUGUCUCGGAAAUUUACAUUGACUCCCUGACUGAGAAUUGGGCUCAAGGCCCACUCAUAGCCCAACCCAGCAACCAUGUGUAUGAUCCCCUGCUCUUUCUUGGACAAGGUACAACUAGGUUGAUCUUGUCUUUCCUGUGACUUGGAAGAAAGCCACUGCUGCAAUUU
RNAcentral lists this unclassified non-coding RNA (552 nucleotides) under Hevea brasiliensis (rubber tree). The record is from RNAcentral. Lineage: Eukaryota; Viridiplantae; Streptophyta; Magnoliopsida; Malpighiales; Euphorbiaceae.